This is a long non-coding RNA of Telopea speciosissima, 201 nucleotides long. RefSeq lists it as uncharacterized. The record is from RefSeq and is a predicted model, not a curated record. NCBI's taxonomy places the organism in Eukaryota, Viridiplantae, Streptophyta, Magnoliopsida, Proteales, Proteaceae. The transcript has 3 exons.
CAUAGAGGAUGAUGUUUCACAGAGAAUUAAAGUGGGAUGGUUAAAGUGGAGAGGAGUGUCCGGAGUGCUGUGUGACCGACAUAUUCCUUUAAAGCUUAAAGGAAAGUUCUAUAGGAUUGUUGUACGACCGACUAUGCUGUAUGGAGUAGAAUGUUGGGCAGCAAAAAAGUGUCAUAUUGAGAAGCUAUGUGUAGCAGAGAU